This 967-nucleotide ribosomal RNA is filed under the name human gut metagenome. Its description in RNAcentral is "bacterial LSU rRNA". It matches the Rfam family "Bacterial large subunit ribosomal RNA", at positions 1960 to 2925 of the family's 2925-position model. The record is from RNAcentral.
CGAAAUUCCUUGUCAGGUAAGUUCUGACCCGCACGAAAGGCGUAAUGAUUUGGGCGCUGUCUCGACAAUGUACUCGGCGAAAUUGUAGUACUAGUGAAGAUGCUAGUUACCUGCGACAAGACAGAAAGACCCCAUGGAGCUUUACUGUAGCUUGAUACUGGGUUUCGAUAAUUUAUGUACAGGAUAGGUGGGAGGCGAAGAAGCAAUUGCGCCAGCAGUUGUGGAGUCAUCCUUGGGAUACCACCCUUAAGUUAUUGAAAUUCUAACCUGUAGUCCUGAGCGGGCUAGGGGACAAUGUCAGGCGGGCAGUUUGACUGGGGCGGUCGCCUCCAAAAGAGUAACGGAGGCGCGCAAAGGUUUCCUCAGCGCGGACAGAAAUCGCGCGAAAGAGUGCAAAGGCAGAAGGAAGCUUAACUGAGAGACUGACAAGUCGACCAGAUACGAAAGUAGGUCUUAGUGAUCCGGCGGUAGUGAGUGGAAAUGCCGUCGCUCAACGGACAAAAGUUACCCUGGGGAUAACAGGCUUAUCUCCCCCAAGAGUUCACAUCGACGGGGAGGUUUGGCACCUCGAUGUCGGCUCAUCACAUCCUGGAGCGGAAGUACGUUCCAAGGGUUGGGCUGUUCGCCCAUUAAAGUGGUACGCGAGCUGGGUUCAGAACGUCGUGAGACAGUUCGGUCCUUAUCUGUCGCAGGCGAAGGAUAUUUGAGGGGAGUUGACCUUAGUACGAGAGGACCAGGUUGAACUUACCAAUGGUGUAUCAGUUGUCGUACCAACGGCACGGCUGAGUAGCUAAGUAGGGAAGGGAUAAACGCUGAAAGCAUCUAAGUGUGAAGCCCACCCCAAGAUAAGAUAUCCCAUACCGUAAGGUAGUAAGAUUCCACGUAGACUAUGUGGUAGAUAGGUUGGAGGUGUAAGUGCAGUAAUGCAUUAAGCUGACCAAUACUAAUAAAUCGAGGGCUUAACCAC